GAAAUGUGAUAAUUAAUGUGAAUUGCAGAAUUCAGUGAAUCAUCGAGUCUUUGAACGCACAUUGCGCCCCCUGGUAUUCCGGGGGGCAUGCCUGUCCGAGCGUCAUUGCUGCCCUCAAGCACGGCUUGUGUGUUGGGCUUCCGUCCCUGGCAACGGGGACGGGCCCAAAAGGCGGUGGCGGCACCAUGUCUGGUCCUCGAGCGUAUGGGGCUUUGUCACCCGCUCCCGUAGGUCCAGCUGGCAGCUAGCCUCGCAACCAAUCUUUUUAACCAGGUUGACCUCGGAUCAGGUAGGGAUACCCGCUGAACUUAAGC
RNAcentral lists this unclassified non-coding RNA (314 nucleotides) under plant metagenome. Its description in RNAcentral is "partial contains 5.8S ribosomal RNA, internal transcribed spacer 2, and large subunit ribosomal RNA". The stretch from base 1 to 105 matches the Rfam family "5.8S ribosomal RNA", at positions 50 to 154 of the family's 154-position model. The record is from RNAcentral.